GUGAUAGUUGAGAGAAAGAGCUGUUCUAUGGGUUCAACCAGGUGAUAGUUGAGAGAAAUAGCUGUUCUAUGGGUUCAACCAAGUGAUAGUUGAGAGAAAUAGCUGUUCUAUGGGUUCAACCAGGUGAUAGUUGAGAGAAAGAGCUGUUCUAUGGGUUCAACCAGGUGAUAGUUGAGAGAAAGAGCUGUUCUAUGGGUUCAACCAGGUGAUGUAGUGAGAGAUAGAGCUGUUCUAUGGGGUUCAACCAGGUGAUAGUUGAGAGAAAGAGCUGUUCUAUGGGUUCAACCAGGUGAUGUAGUGAGAGAAAGAGCUGUUCUAUGGGGUUCAACCAGGUAAUAGUUGAGAGAAAUAGCUGUUCUAUGGGUUCAAUCAGGUGAUAGUUGAGAGAAAGAGCUGUUCUAUGGGUUCAACCAGGUGAUAGUUGAGAGAAAGAGCUGUUCUAUGGGGUUCAACCAGGUGAUAGUUGAGAGAAAGAGCUGUUCUAUGGGGUUCAACCAGGUGAUAGUUGAGAGAAAGAGCUGUUCUAUGGGUUCAACCAGGUGAUGUAGUGAGAGAAAGAGCUGUUCUAUGGGUUCAACCAGGUGAUGUAGUGAGAGAAAGAGAUGUUCAAAUGUGGACCUAGAAGGCAGAGACAAGCCAACCCCCGAUAUCAUUUGGGGGCCUUUAAGGGGGUACAUUAGGGGAGAGAUAGUCCAACCCCCGAUAUCAUUUGGGAGGCCUUUAAGGGGGUACAUUAGGGGAGAGAUAAUCCAACCCCCGUUAUCAUUAGGGGAGGCCUUUAAGGGGGUACAUUAGGGGAGAGAUAAUCCAACCCCCGUUAUCAUUAGGGGAGGCCUUUAAGGGGGUACAUUAGGG
Molecule: long non-coding RNA, 855 nt
Filed under: Salmo salar (Atlantic salmon)
Lineage: Eukaryota; Metazoa; Chordata; Actinopteri; Salmoniformes; Salmonidae
Description: lncRNA (ENSSSAG00000118272.1)
Source: RNAcentral